RNAcentral lists this RNase P RNA (260 nucleotides) under Oscillospiraceae bacterium. RNAcentral's name for it is "partial RNase P RNA component class A". It matches the Rfam family "Bacterial RNase P class A", at positions 78 to 367 of the family's 367-position model. Rfam says of the family: Ribonuclease P (RNase P) is a ubiquitous endoribonuclease, found in archaea, bacteria and eukarya as well as chloroplasts and mitochondria. Its best characterised activity is the generation of mature 5'-ends of tRNAs by cleaving the 5'-leader elements of precursor-tRNAs. The record is from RNAcentral. Lineage: Bacteria; Bacillati; Bacillota; Clostridia; Eubacteriales; Oscillospiraceae.
GUAACGCCCGCCGAAGGCGACUUCAGGAAAAGUGCAACAGAGAUAUACCGCCUCUUCGGAGGUAAGGGUGGAAAGGCGAGGUAAGAGCUCACCCAUCGGCUCGAGAGUGUCCGAUGCUGUAAACUCUAUCCGGAGCAACACUGCUAUGGGAGCAAUAGGGCGGCCCGUCCGCUCCCGAGGUGGCUGAAGCGCACCGGCAACGAUGCGCUUAGAUAGAUGACUGUCAAAUACAGAACCCGGCUUACAGACCUGCUCGCAUA